Molecule: long non-coding RNA, 798 nt
Filed under: Olea europaea subsp. europaea
Lineage: Eukaryota; Viridiplantae; Streptophyta; Magnoliopsida; Lamiales; Oleaceae
Source: RNAcentral
UAAUAAUAAAUUAUCGUCUUGUUAUUACAUCUUGAAGUAAGCAAACAGAAGCGUCGAUAGAAAGUGAGGGUGACGGAAAAGUUUCACGGGAUUUAACUGAUAAGAGAGCGCCAGAGGACACUUCAAAGAGAGAAAACUACGAGGCAAAUACACUGCCACAAUGCAGAAAGUCGAAGGCCAGUGGUGACACAUCAAUGGUGGAUGGAUCAUUUGGUCCGAUACAUAAUACAGUUGAGACUAGCAAGCACAGUUCAAAUCAGGUCAAACCAAUUGAGACAGAGGAAAGAUAUCAUGAUUUUUAUCAGCUACGACCAAGGGAGCAUAUGAAAUAUGAUCGUAAGACUUCCUCUGCACGUUCUGCAUACAUGCAAUGUUAUGAUCAUUUCUUUCUCUUCUUGUUUUCUUUACUGAUAGUUUGUUUUAUUUGUGUGCUGCUGCGGAAACUUUAUUUGAUUUUCUGAUAUUGGUAUCUGCAUGUUCUUUAUUUAGACAAUGAACCUUCAACAUUACCUGUAUUAUAUAUACUUCACUUUGUUAUUGAUCAAAGCUAUGAUAUUUAGCCCUUGUGUGGGCACUAUUCUUACCGGAUUUUAAGAAUAAUUUGGAACCACUGGAGCAAUACAUGGGUCCCUAUGCAGCCAUCAUUAUGAACUCAACAUCAAACAAAUUCCCUUAAACGCUCAUCUUUCAAAUACAAUGAAAUCAAUCUCAAAAGGGUACAAAGGUUAUUUUGCUUGGUUGGUCAAUAAAUGCAGUUGCCUUUUUACUGUAUCACAGGCAAAAUUGAGUGGAGAUCUG